RNAcentral lists this unclassified non-coding RNA (263 nucleotides) under uncultured fungus. Its description in RNAcentral is "sequence contains ITS1, 5.8S rRNA gene". The stretch from base 215 to 263 matches the Rfam family "5.8S ribosomal RNA", at positions 1 to 49 of the family's 154-position model. Lineage: Eukaryota; Fungi. The record is from RNAcentral.
UCUCCGUUGGUGCACCAGCGGAGGGAUCAUUGCUGGAAGCGUCUCACGGCGCACCCAGAAACCCUAUGUGAACUUAUACCACUUUGUUGCCUCGGCGCGAGCCGGGGGCUUCUAUAAGCCCCCCCUUACCUCGGUGAGGAGCAGGCACGCCGGCGGCCAAGUUAACUCUUGUUUUUACACUGAAACUCUGAGAAAAAAAACACAAAUGAAUCAAAACUUUCAACAACGGAUCUCUUGGUUCUGGCAUCGAUGAAGAACGCAGC